UAACUGAAGGAUUUUGAUGCCACCUAAUUUGGAUGCGUUGAGUUUGGAUGUAGUGCACCUUUUGUUUUCUGUAUGAGGCAUCUUUCCUUAGUUAUCUCUUGUUUAACCUAUUGUAAGUUGUAAUUCAUUACAAAUAAAAAGCUCUCUUUGGGUAUUACUCUAUAGAGCCAAUAGUUUCAUCAUAUCAAGAAUCAAUAUUAGUUUCUACCAUGUGAGCUGAAAUUUUGGCUAAAAAAGUUACAUGCUAAAAAAGUUAUACAUACAAAUUGAUUUAAAUCUAGGCAUGCCCAGCCUUAUCAGGUGUUGACUUUGGCUGGCUGCGUGGUAUGUGGAAAUGUAACCUUAUCUCGAUUCACAUGUGUCAAGCAUCUCAAUCAGUUUUUCUGUAUGGAAAUGGUUUCUUUAGGUGAGCCUCCCUAUAGAGGAAUCUCUAUGGAUCCAUUGGGCUCUUUUAUUUGCUGCUCAGUAGGUGCUCAAAUUAUCUGGAAUAGGUGGCCAAUUCAGUCUUGACUCAUGGUCCAUAUUUCUUAUAACCUUAUUAAAUCCAGUCUUAACAUAUGAUCUUUCAUUCCUAGUAGAUUCACAAAAAGGAAUUUCGGCAAUGCUAG
Long non-coding RNA from Telopea speciosissima, 608 nucleotides. RefSeq lists it as uncharacterized. The record is from RefSeq and is a predicted model, not a curated record. Lineage: Eukaryota; Viridiplantae; Streptophyta; Magnoliopsida; Proteales; Proteaceae. The transcript is spliced from 3 exons.